CUACGGGCUGCACCAGUGAGGAAUAUUGGACAAUGGAGGAAACUCUGAUCCAGCCAUGCCGCGUGAGUGAAGAAGGCCUUAGGGUUGUAAAGCUCUUUCAGUAGUGAAGAUAAUGACGGUAACUACAGAAGAAGCUCCGGCUAAAUUCGUGCCAGCAGCCGCGGUAAUACGAAUGGAGCAAGCGUUGUUCGGAAUCACUGGGCUUAAAGCGUGCGCAGGCGGACUGUAAAGUCAGAAGUGAAAUCCCGGGGCUCAACCUCGGAACUGCUUUUGAAACUCACAGUCUAGAAUCCGAUAGAGGUAAGGAGAACUCCUAGUGUAGAGGUGGAAUUCGCAGAUAUUAGGAAGAAUACCAGUGGCGUAGGCGCCUUACUGGAUCGGUAUUGACGCUCAUGUACGAAAGCGUGGGGAGCAAACAGGAUUAGAUACCCUCGUAGUC
This 439-nucleotide ribosomal RNA is filed under the name uncultured bacterium. RNAcentral's name for it is "partial 16S ribosomal RNA". It matches the Rfam family "Bacterial small subunit ribosomal RNA", at positions 339 to 795 of the family's 1533-position model. The record is from RNAcentral.